CUCACUGUCUCGGCGACACCUCCUGCCUUCCUCACUCUCUCAGGGGACGCCCACCGCCCAGGCGCCCAAGGCUUGCUACAUCAGCCACUCAGCCAGAUAGCCACCGCGCGAAUCUCCGACUUGCCCAGGGCUAACAAGGGAGUGAAGGAACCACGAAUUCUUAUUCUUGCAAUGUAAUGUUAUGAGUUUUCGUGGAUUCAUUUGUAUUUUCGGUGGACUCAUUUGUAUUUUUGGUGUUUGGGAAUUGGGAAUUUAUAGACGUUAUGUA
Molecule: long non-coding RNA, 268 nt
Organism: Chenopodium quinoa (quinoa)
Lineage: Eukaryota; Viridiplantae; Streptophyta; Magnoliopsida; Caryophyllales; Amaranthaceae
Exons: 2
Source: RefSeq, a predicted model, not a curated record